This 228-nucleotide unclassified non-coding RNA is filed under the name uncultured fungus. Its description in RNAcentral is "sequence contains ITS1, 5.8S rRNA gene". The stretch from base 180 to 228 matches the Rfam family "5.8S ribosomal RNA", at positions 1 to 49 of the family's 154-position model. Lineage: Eukaryota; Fungi. The record is from RNAcentral.
UCUCCGUUGGUGAACCUUCGGAGGGAUUAUUACUGAGUGAGGGCUUCGGUCCGACCUCCAACCCUUUGUGAACCAAACUUGUUGCUUCGGGGGCGACCCUGCCGCUUCGGCGGUGCGGCGCCCCCGGAGGCCAUUAAACACUGCAUCAUUGCGUCGGAGUCUUAAAGAAAUUUAAACAAAACUUUCAACAACGGAUCUCUUGGUUCUGGCAUCGAUGAAGAACGCAGC